UCAACUGUCUCCAUACCUCAACCUAUAUGGGCAUUAUAAACCUCAACCGUCCUCACCCCUCAACCUAAGUGAGCACCAUAAAUAUCGAUCGUCCUCACUCCUCAACUUAGGUUAGCAUCAUGAGUAUUUUUCAUAUCCAUAGUAGGGUUCACCACAUAUAGUCAUCGAGACAUAAUCAUCACAUUUACCCAUCAACUUGCAUGCAUUUGUAUAACUAUGUUCAUUUGUUUAAAUACUCUAUUUGUAUAUAAGAUCUAUGU
Molecule: long non-coding RNA, 260 nt
Filed under: Carica papaya (papaya)
Lineage: Eukaryota; Viridiplantae; Streptophyta; Magnoliopsida; Brassicales; Caricaceae
Description: long non-coding RNA (CPAP_LNC007541)
Source: RNAcentral